GUNGGGGUUGGUGUCAGGCUCGACGGCGUCGCGCCGCUCCACCUGGAGGGCGGAGACGGUGGUGAGGGAACGAGGCCGCGGCUGCGGAGGAGGACGACGACGGAGAGAUCGGAGGGAGGAGGAGUUAGGGUUGGGGUUAGGGUUUGUGGAGGGAAGGGAGACUCCUCGUCUUCUUGUGGUGGUCGCUGGGGGAGGCGGAGAGGCCACGAACAUGGCGGAGGAAGCCAUUGCUCAGCGCAGCCACGGGUUAGAGUGGUUCACGAAGCGCACUCGGAAAAAUAAGAAUGGUAAAAUGAAUGGAGCUACUAUAGUUUACUAAGUUAUCAGUCUCCGUAAAUUUUUAAAUAAAAAAUAUUCGAUUAGAGUGACAGUACAAUAGUUAUCUAGCA
Molecule: long non-coding RNA, 389 nt
Filed under: Ananas comosus (pineapple)
Lineage: Eukaryota; Viridiplantae; Streptophyta; Magnoliopsida; Poales; Bromeliaceae
Description: long non-coding RNA (ACOM_LNC006185)
Source: RNAcentral